Molecule: ribosomal RNA, 480 nt
Filed under: uncultured bacterium
Lineage: Bacteria
Description: bacterial SSU rRNA
Rfam family: Bacterial small subunit ribosomal RNA
Source: RNAcentral
GAUGAACGCUGGCGGCGUGCCUAACACAUGCAAGUCGAGCGGGAUUGUGGAGUAGCUUGCUACGAAGCAAUCUAGCGGCGGACGGGUGAGUAACGCGUGGGCAACCUGCCCUAUACAGGGGGAUAACACACCGAAAGGUGUGCUAAUACCCCAUAACACCGAUGCUUCGCAUGGAGCGCCGGUCAAAGAUUUAUCGGUAUAGGAUGGGCCCGCGUCUGAUUAGCUAGUUGGUGAGGUAAAGGCUCACCAAGGCGACGAUCAGUAGCCGACCUGAGAGGGUGAUCGGCCACACUGGAACUGAGACACGGUCCAGACUCCUACGGGAGGCAGCAGUGGGGAAUAUUGCACAAUGGGGGAAACCCUGAUGCAGCAACGCCGCGUGAGCGAUGAAGGCCUCGGUCGUAAGACUCUGUCCUAAGGGAAGAAGAAUGACGGUACCUUAGGAGGAAGCCCCGGCGUAACUACGUGCCAGCAGCCGCG